Molecule: ribosomal RNA, 253 nt
Filed under: Trypanosoma congolense type Savannah
Lineage: Eukaryota; Euglenozoa; Kinetoplastea; Trypanosomatida; Trypanosomatidae
Description: partial 18S ribosomal RNA
Source: RNAcentral
CCAAAAAAAAGGGGGGNGUGGAGGAGCCGCCGGGUUCUUAUGCCCCCCGCCCCUAUUGGGGGGNGCACUGGCUGGCUUUUCUCCCCCUUCUUCUCCCCCUAAUCCUCGUCUUUUCACGCCAUCCCACGUGUGUUGGGAGAGUGGAGGAGGAAGUGUGUGUGUUUGGAGGAAGAAGCUGCGGAGGGGGAAAUAUGGUGAGGCUNGUGUGCGGACGCAGGGGUGUUGGUCACGGCUCUCACAUGCGCGCCGCGAU